AGUUAGAAUAUAUUUCACUGCAAAGACGAACAGUUAUUCCUUUACAAAGUAGUUUUUAUUCAGUGUGUUAUAAAACAUUGAACUUUAUAAAUUAUUUUUUGAUUUAUUUAGUUUAAAUAGACGAUUUUGACUAGUUUUGUUUUAUAGGAAUAAGUUAUAAUAUUACAUUUGUAAUACAAUUUAAAAGUUUUUUAAAAUCUUUUCAUAAUUCUUUUCAUAAUCUUUUUAUAAUUAAAUUAAUAAAAAUAUCAAAAAUAUUUUUAUCGAAUUUUUAUAUUAUUAAAAAUUCUUCUAAAUAUCUUAAAUUAAAUAAAGAAAAUUUAUUUAUUAGAAUUUCUUGGAAUUAGAAUAAUUAAAAAAGAUCUAUUAUUUGUUAUAAAUUAUAUUAUUAGAUGAUACAUAUAUAUAAACAUAAUGAUAAUAUAUUUAUAUGUAUUAAAUGAUUUUAUUAAAAAUUAUUUAUUAAAAAUGUUGUUCAAUUUUAUAUAAUUAAAUUAUUAUUUAAUUGUUAUUUAAUUAGUAAUUAAAUAAAUUAUUUGUUUAAGUUUUAGUACAAAUUUUUAAAAAAUUUUUAGUACAAAGUUUUUAACAUAUAUAAUAGAUUACUUUAUCAUAAUUAUAUGUAUAAUUAAUUUAAUGUAUGCAUAUCUUUGUACAAAACAAAAUUAUUAAAAGCAAUGGAAUCUCAAACUUGUGUGAUUUGUGGAGGACAUUCAGUUCAUAAAUGCAGUGCCUGUGAAAAUGUUUAUUACUGCAGCAAGAAACAUCAAAAAGAAGAUUGGAAGAAACAUUCAAAAAUUUGUAAAUCCUUUAAGUUAGCAGAAAAUCCUUCAUUGGGUCGUCAUUAUGUAGCUACGAGAAAUAUCAAAGUUGGAGAAAUUAUUCUACGGGAUGAUCAACCCUUGAUAACAGGUCUUAUGUACAACAGUGUCCCUGUGUGUCUUCAAUGUUAUACGGUGUUAAAUCAAGAGAUUGCAGUACCUUGCGAAAAAUGUGGCUGGCCUCUUUGUCAAAACUGUAAUGAACAUGGAUUGGAAUGUAAAUUUUCUUGUUCUCGCAGAGAUUCUAAGAUUUCAAUAACCGAAUUUGGCUAUCCACAUCCGAGUUAUCAAUGUAUAAAUAUUAUAAGAGCUUUGUCAUUGAAGGAUACUAAUCCAGAAUCUUAUAAAAAGUUAAUAUCUCUCGAAAGUCAUUGCAAUGAAAUAAAUAAUUCUAAAGAGCCAUUGAACAUUGCUCAUUUUAUCAAGAGAUUCUUCAAGGCAGAUGAUAUAUCGGAAGAAGAAAUUGUAAUAAUCAUUGGUAUCUUGCAGGUUAAUGGUCAUGAAGUUCCAUUAACCGAUUCACCAUAUGUAGCGGUUUAUGAAAUGGCAUCAUUGCUUGAGCAUAAUUGUAGAGCCAAUUGCUCAAAAAGUUUCACUGAUAUGGGAGGAUUGAUUAUUCGUGCUGCACUACCCAUUACGAAGGGAGAUCACAUUUCUAUAUGUUAUACUGAUCCAUUGUGGGGUACUGCAAACAGAAGACAUCACCUUCUUAAAACAAAAUUUUUUGAAUGUAUUUGUAAUCGAUGUCAAGAUCCUACAGAAUUUCAAACUAUGUUUAAUGCUUUAAAAUGCAAUAAUAUAAAUUGUUCAGGAUACGUAUUGCCAAAAACUUUCCUUGAACAGGAACAAGAUUACAUAUGCAAAAUUUGUGAAUCAGUCGUUUCUUGUACAGAGAUUGAAAAAAUAUUGGAAGACAUUGGUGUACACUUAUCAAAUAUGAAGAAAAACGAUAUUGUUGCAUGUAAAGAAUUUCUAGACCGAUAUAAAAAUAAUCUUCAUCCAAAUCAUUAUUAUAACAUCGACGUAACGAUCGCCUUGGCUCAAUUGAUUGGACAACAAACUGGAGGAUUGGCGGUAAUCGAGGAAGAUCUUCUGAUUGAGAAAAUAAAAUUAUGCAAAAAAUUGGAUACUUUGCUUAAAUUACUCGUUCCAGGUCACUACUACAUUGUGACGAAGUAACAAGAAAACUAUUUGUGUACUCUCUCGAAUGCGAUUCCAUUUUUACAAGGAAAAUGAUAUCGGUGACUGAUACACGCCGAUUUUGAUGAAAUGUUGUAUAAAUUGUUUGGACCAGCCUAUAGAUUUUUCCCAUAUUUGGUUCGUGUUACUUUUUUACUUUGAUACCUUCUCAAAUGAUGGGUCUGACUCGUCAUUGUAACUUAAUGGGAAAGUUGAGCUACACUCAUAAAGUUUGAACUACUAAUUAUGUAAUAAAAUAAAUUGUUUUUUUUUUGUGUUGAUUGGAUUAAUGAAUUUAUUGAAUUAAGAAUUAAGAAUUAAUCACUAAGGCACGAAUUCUCAAACUUUAGGUCACAAAUUGAUCUUUGAAUUUUGGAUUAUUAUAAUUAUUUUUAUUUAUAAUUCAUAUACGAAAUUUAAUGCUUUUAUUUCAAUAUAACCAUUUAUAUAGAAUACAACAAAUAGAAAUGAAUUAUGAUUUAUGAAAAAAUAUUAAAGAUUCAUUAUAUGAUCAUAUUGAAUAAUUAUGUUUGCUAUGUCAAAUAUUUAUUUUUUAUUUCAUCUUUAAAAACAAAAUAUCGUAUUUAAGUAUUUAUUUUACUUCAUCUUGUCAAAAAUAUAUUAAAACGUACGAUUCUCAUUAAAAAUUAAUAAUUGAAAUGCAUGCGAUUAUUUGUGUGUGAAUUUUGCAAAUUUUAUCAUUUCUUCAUUUUAUUAUAUCUCAGAAAUGAAGAUAACUAAUCAACCCAUGCUAUACAUAACAUUAUUUUAAAAUAAUUAUAUCGGCAAAGUUUGUCAGUUUUUAUUUGGAUCACCUUGUAUAUAAAUAUACUUGACCUAAUAUACUAUGUUAGGUGAAGAAUUCUCGAAAACCCUAUUCGUUCUAAACCGAUCUCUACGACGACUGAACGAAGUUGGACGUGCUCGUAAUCAAUCGUCUUACCGAUCUCACACAUGCUUGGCUAUCGGUAAAUAGAGCUGAAAACCGAAUUCGAGGUUUAAUUCUUUUUGAACUACAUGCAGCUCUUGCAGAAUUAAGUAGAAGAUAUAAAAACGAGGAAACUAUGAUAUCAUUACUGCAGGAAUCAAAAAAAUAUUUAAUUGAUGGCUAUCAAUUGUUAAAAUAUGAACCAAAAA
Molecule: RNA transcript, 3137 nt
Organism: Apis cerana (Asiatic honeybee)
Lineage: Eukaryota; Metazoa; Arthropoda; Insecta; Hymenoptera; Apidae
Gene name: SET domain-containing protein SmydA-8
Source: RefSeq, a predicted model, not a curated record